RNAcentral lists this ribosomal RNA (227 nucleotides) under uncultured bacterium. Its description in RNAcentral is "partial 16S ribosomal RNA". It matches the Rfam family "Bacterial small subunit ribosomal RNA", at positions 568 to 795 of the family's 1533-position model. The record is from RNAcentral.
UGCGUAGGCGGAUUUUUAAGUCAGUGGUGAAAGCCCGGAGCUCAACUCCGGAACUGCCAUUGAUACUAUUAAUCUUGAAUACAGUUGAGGUGGGCGGAAUGUGUAGUGUAGCGGUGAAAUGCUUAGAUAUUACACAGAACACCGAUUGCGAAGGCAGCUCGCUAAACUGUUAUUGACGCUGAGGCACGAAAGCGUGGGGAGCGAACAGGAUUAAUACCCUGGUAGUC